CUGGGAGUAGAAGGGGGAAACCA
This 23-nucleotide microRNA is filed under the name Mus musculus (house mouse). Its description in RNAcentral is "mmu-miR-6995-5p". Lineage: Eukaryota; Metazoa; Chordata; Mammalia; Rodentia; Muridae. The record is from miRBase by way of RNAcentral.